RNAcentral lists this ribosomal RNA (778 nucleotides) under Amphidromus martensi. RNAcentral describes it as "partial 16S ribosomal RNA". The stretch from base 326 to 568 matches the Rfam family "Archaeal large subunit ribosomal RNA", at positions 1787 to 2143 of the family's 2987-position model. Lineage: Eukaryota; Metazoa; Mollusca; Gastropoda; Stylommatophora; Camaenidae. The record is from RNAcentral.
GAGUAAAAUUAAAUUUCACGAAAUAAUUUGAGCUAACUACUUGAAGAUGUUAGUCGAACUUAAUAGUGUGUUGCAAAAUACUAUUCUAACAGGUAGUUAGGGGUGAUAGGCCAAGCAAAAAUUAUGAUAUCUUGAUUCUGGGGAAAUUCAUUUAGUGAUCAAGCGAGUUUAAAGUGAUAAGGCUUUAACCUAAAAUUAAACCUUAAAACAUAAUACUCAUAGCUUUAACCGGCAGUAUGUAGUGUUAACUACCAUUAAAAUAUUUAGGUUAUUUAUAGUACCUAUUAUAAAAUUGUUGACUUAAUUUAUAAUGUUAAUAUUAGUAAGUAAAUAGAUUAGUAGAAUGAACUCGGCAAAUUUACCUUUCGACUGUUUACCAAAAACAUAACUACAUGAACACCUAUGCAGCAUUUUCUGCUCAAUGAGUAUUAAAUAGCCGCAGUACUCUGACUGUGCAAAGGUAGCAUAAUCAGUUGGCUUAUAAUUGAAGUCUAGAAUCAACGAACGCACGGAAGGUUACUGUCUCUUAUUAAAAUACUGAAAUUAUUUAGUAAGUGAAAAUACUUACUUUUAAAUAAAAGACGAGAAGACCCUAGAAAUUUAAAUUGCAUUUUGUUGGGGCGACAUAGUAGCAUUGAACCUACAAUAUAUACAGGAAUUUAAUUAGACGUAAGGUUAAUUACUCUAGGGAUAACAGCAUAAUUUAAAAAAGUUUGUGACCUCGAUGUUGGACUAGGAAACUUAAGUUUAGACGACGUAAGUAUUGCUCUGUUCGAGC